Molecule: non-coding RNA, 127 nt
Organism: Xylaria sp. FL1777
Lineage: Eukaryota; Fungi; Ascomycota; Sordariomycetes; Xylariales; Xylariaceae
Source: the annotation of a GenBank genome assembly
GGUGAGAUGGCCGAGUGGUUAUGGCGCUGCGUUCAGGAAAACUCUGGACUCUUGAUACAGUGUUAUGUUGUGUCAUUAGAAAUUCGCAGUGGAGCAAUCCGCGUGGGUUCGAGUCCCACUCUCAUCA